GUGAGGGGAGUGAAAUAGAACCUGAAACCGUGUACGUACAAGCAGUGGGAGCCCUUCGGGGUGACUGCGUACCUUUUGUAUAAUGGGUCAGCGACUUACAUUUUGUAGCGAGGUUAACCGUAUAGGGGAGCCGUAGGGAAACCGAGUCUUAACUGGGCGUCUAGUUGCAAGGUGUAGACCCGAAACCGGGUGAUCUAGCCAUGGGCAGGUUGAAGGUUGAGUAACAUCAACUGGAGGACCGAACCCACUAACGUUGCAAAGUUAGGGGAUGACCUGUGGCUGGGGGUGAAAGG
Molecule: ribosomal RNA, 293 nt
Filed under: Aeromonas sp. PrichA-15
Lineage: Bacteria; Pseudomonadati; Pseudomonadota; Gammaproteobacteria; Aeromonadales; Aeromonadaceae
Description: partial 23S ribosomal RNA
Rfam family: Bacterial large subunit ribosomal RNA
Source: RNAcentral